CCUACGGGUGGCAGCAGUGAGGAAUAUUGGUCAAUGGGCGCGAGCCUGAACCAGCCAAGUCGCGUGAGGGAUGAAGGUUCUAUGGAUCGUAAACCUCUUUUAUAAGGGAAUAAAGUGUGGGACGUGUCCUAUUUUGUAUGUACCUUAUGAAUAAGGAUCGGCUAACUCCGUGCCAGCAGCCGCGGUAAUACGGAGGAUACGAUCGUUAUCCGGAUUGUUUGGGUUUAAAGGGUGCGUAGGCGGCACUUUAAGUCAGCGGUGAAAGUCUGUGGCACAACCAUAGAAGUGCCGUUGAAACUGGAGGGCGUGAGUAUGUGUGAGGCAGGCGGAAUGCGUGGUGUAGCGGUGAAAGGCUUAGAUAUCACGCAGAACCCCGAUUGCGAAGGCAGCCUGCCAAGCCAUGACUGACGCUGAUGCACGAAAGCGUGGGGAUCAAACAGGAUUAGAUACCCGGGUAGUC
This 460-nucleotide ribosomal RNA is filed under the name uncultured bacterium. RNAcentral describes it as "partial 16S ribosomal RNA". It matches the Rfam family "Bacterial small subunit ribosomal RNA", at positions 338 to 795 of the family's 1533-position model. The record is from RNAcentral.